AUUGAACGCUGGCGGCAGGCCUAACACAUGCAAGUCGAGCGGAUGAAGGGAGCUUGCUCCUGGAUUCAGCGGCGGACGGGUGAGUAAUGCCUAGGAAUCUGCCUGGUAGUGGGGGAUAACGUCCGGAAACGGGCGCUAAUACCGCAUACGUCCUGAGGGAGAAAGUGGGGGAUCUUCGGACCUCACGCUAUCAGAUGAGCCUAGGUCGGAUUAGCUAGUUGGUGGGGUAAAGGCCUACCAAGGCGACGAUCCGUAACUGGUCUGAGAGGAUGAUCAGUCACACUGGAACUGGGACACGGUCCAGACUCCUACGGGAGGCAGCAGUGGGGAAUAUUGGACAAUGGGCGAAAGCCGGAUCCAGCCAUGCCGCGUGUGUGAAGAAGGUCUUCGGAUUGUAAAGCACUUUAGGUUGGGAGGAAGGGCAGUAAGUUAAUACCUUGCUGUUUUGACGUUACCAACAGAAUAAGCACCGGCUAACUUCGUG
Molecule: ribosomal RNA, 484 nt
Filed under: uncultured bacterium
Lineage: Bacteria
Description: partial 16S ribosomal RNA
Rfam family: Bacterial small subunit ribosomal RNA
Source: RNAcentral